Molecule: ribosomal RNA, 466 nt
Filed under: uncultured bacterium
Lineage: Bacteria
Description: partial 16S ribosomal RNA
Rfam family: Bacterial small subunit ribosomal RNA
Source: RNAcentral
GACGAACGCUGGCGGCGCGCCUAACACAUGCAAGUCGAACGAGCGAGAGAGAGCUUGCUUUCUCGAGCGAGUGGCGAACGGGUGAGUAACGCGUGAGGAACCUGCCUCAAAGAGGGGGACAACAGUUGGAAACGACUGCUAGUACCGCAUAAGCCCACGGCUCGGCAUCGAGCAGGGGGAAAAGGAGCAAUCCGCUUUGAGAUGGCCUCGCGUCCGAUUAGCUAGUUGGUGGGGUAACGGCCCACCAAGGCGACGAUCGGUAGCCGGACUGAGAGGUUGAACGGCCACAUUGGGACUGAGACACGGCCCAGACUCCUACGGGAGGCAGCAGUGGGGAAUAUUGCACAAUGGGGGAAACCCUGAUGCAGCGACGCCGCGUGGAGGAAGAAGGUCUUCGGAUUGUAAACUCCUGUUGUUGGGGAAGAUAAUGACGGUACCAAACAAGGAAGUGACGGCUAACUACGUG